UGGAUCCAAGGAAUUUCUUGGCAAAAGUCUGUGUGAGAGCUUGAUAGGCUCCGCGCUUGCCUUUACAAAGCGCUUUGUACCGGUGCGGUAGAGGAACAAACCCCACCAGCUUCGGAGGGCACUUCAGCGAUUGCCCGGUGCGGUAGGCAUGCCCCAGCGACGCUCCGGCUUACGCCUUUACUGCGGGUCGAUAUUCACAAAGAGAUCACUAGUUCCCGUGAGGAGGGAGACGAAGUUCCUCUGCCCCGCCUGUCACCGGGCUUGCGAUCCCGCUUGCUGCCUGCGCCUACGCACCUCGGCCAGUAUUCACCCGCAUCACUCACGCUCCUGAAAUCAGUUUCACGCUUGUUUAACUGGUCUGAUCGGAAUGUAACUGAAGAAGCCGGGAAAUGGAGAACUGAGUGUCAUGUACCUCCUCAGACCUGCAGGGAAACGGAGCCGUGGCCAAAACCUUGGGUGUAAAUGCGACAACAAAAAUAAAUAUUUUACAUCACUGUGCAGAACAUAUUUUACUAAGUCAA
This is a long non-coding RNA of Gavia stellata (red-throated loon), 521 nucleotides long. RefSeq lists it as uncharacterized. The record is from RefSeq and is a predicted model, not a curated record. The transcript is spliced from 3 exons. NCBI's taxonomy places the organism in Eukaryota, Metazoa, Chordata, Aves, Gaviiformes, Gaviidae.